Molecule: long non-coding RNA, 850 nt
Filed under: Sus scrofa (pig)
Lineage: Eukaryota; Metazoa; Chordata; Mammalia; Artiodactyla; Suidae
Description: lncRNA (ENSSSCG00015026990.1)
Source: RNAcentral
AGUCAGAGGCAUUCAUGCCCCUGUGAUGAGAUACACGGUUUCAUAGGCAACACUUUGGAGUUCCCAUUGUGGCUAAGUGGGUUAAGAACCUGACAUAGAGUCCAUGAGGAUAUGGGUUUGAUCCCUGGCCUCGCUCAGUGGGUUAAGCAUCCAGCAUUGCUGCACGCUGCAGUAUAGGUUCAGAGGCAGUUCAGAUCUGGCGUUGCUGUAGCUGUGGCGUAGGCCAGCAACUAGAGCUCCAAUUCGACCCCUAGCCUGGGAACUUCCAUGUGCUGCGGGUGCAGCUGUAAAAGAAAAAGAAAAAAUGCAAUAGUGAAAGCAGGUGAUAAAUGAGUUCCUGGAUGCACACAGAUAUGCUGGACCACUUGGUGUAGCUGCAGAAAAAGCAACACCGAAACCACUGCAAGGAAAGAUGCUUAGCAGGCACCUGUGGCCGAACAAGCAGAGUCUGUUCCCUCCCCAGGAGGCUGCUGCUGUGAUAAAGUGUCUCUUUAUCCAGCUGUCUUCUGCUAAUGAAGUGCACUUGUGUGAGGUUUUGAAGGUAGAAGAGAAAUGGAAUAUAUUCUUCUUCCCUGUGCAUCGAGGUUGGACAUGGAAGCUGUGAACUGAAGUUUGGCACUUGCCAUCAGCCUCUACAUGGAGUAAAACAGUCCCUGCAGCUGCCGACCCACAAGCCCCCUGAGCCAAUCUGAGGGUGGAGGCCAGGAGGGAGGCCCUCUGUGCUCUGGGGGUACUGGACGAACAGGUCUUCAGAUGGUUAGACAUUUUUAGGAGAAGAUUUUAUGAGCCUGAUUCUUGCAUCUCCUCAUAUCUAGAAAAACACUAAAAUUCUUCAGUGAUGACUGAUGUU